UCACAAUGAUCCAAUGGGCAGCUAUCAC
This 28-nucleotide non-coding RNA is filed under the name Bombyx mori (domestic silkworm). Lineage: Eukaryota; Metazoa; Arthropoda; Insecta; Lepidoptera; Bombycidae. The record is from RNAcentral.